Molecule: non-coding RNA, 80 nt
Organism: Ceratotherium simum simum (southern white rhinoceros)
Lineage: Eukaryota; Metazoa; Chordata; Mammalia; Perissodactyla; Rhinocerotidae
Source: RefSeq, a predicted model, not a curated record
AAGAGGCAGGGAAACCUAUAGAUUACAAGAGACUUAAGGGACAUAUCAAUUGAUUACCAUGUAUGAACCUUAUUUGGUUC